Long non-coding RNA from Zonotrichia leucophrys gambelii, 305 nucleotides. RefSeq lists it as uncharacterized. The transcript is spliced from 3 exons. NCBI's taxonomy places the organism in Eukaryota, Metazoa, Chordata, Aves, Passeriformes, Passerellidae. The record is from RefSeq and is a predicted model, not a curated record.
CUCAGCUUCCCCAGAGAAAAAUCCUGAGUGAAGAAAUUUUUCAGAGAAUGUGAAUGCCACAGCACCAUAUCACUUGUACUGGCAAUUCUGGAUACAAACCAAAAGUGUGUAUGGAAUAUAAACCAUCCCCAUGACAAUAUGUGGUGUCCUUCUCUGCCCUGCUAAUGCUCCAAGAAGAGGAAGAAUGUGCAAGCACACCAGGCCACACAUUUUGCAACAAUUGGCCCCAACAAGGCGCAACUUUGAGAAAUUUGUUUAAAAUGAAACAGUUGAGAGGGGUACUCAUCGUGUCUGCCUUGUUAUUC